GUGGCUGUGGUGAAGCGGUUAACACAAACGACUGUGACUCGUUCAUUCGUGGGUUCAAAUCCCAUCAGCCACCCCA
Molecule: transfer RNA, 76 nt
Filed under: Geobacter sp.
Lineage: Bacteria; Pseudomonadati; Thermodesulfobacteriota; Desulfuromonadia; Geobacterales; Geobacteraceae
Also listed under: 1 other name
Description: tRNA-His
Rfam family: tRNA
About the family: Transfer RNA (tRNA) molecules are approximately 80 nucleotides in length. Their secondary structure includes four short double-helical elements and three loops (D, anti-codon, and T loops).
Source: RNAcentral